Molecule: ribosomal RNA, 430 nt
Filed under: bacterium
Lineage: Bacteria
Description: partial 16S ribosomal RNA
Rfam family: Bacterial small subunit ribosomal RNA
Source: RNAcentral
UGGGGAAUAUUGGACAAUGGGCGCAAGCCUGAUCCAGCCAUGCCGCGUGUGUGAAGAAGGCCUUUUGGUUGUAAAGCACUUUAAGCGAGGAGGAGGCUACUUGGAUUAAUACUCUAAGAUAGUGGACGUUACUCGCAGAAUAAGCACCGGCUAACUCUGCGCCAGCAGCCGCGGUAAUACAGAGGGUGCGAGCGUUAAUCGGAUUUACUGGGCGUAAAGCGUGCGUAGGCGGCUUCUUAAGUCGGAUGUGAAAUCCCUGAGCUUAACUUAGGAAUUGCAUUCGAUACUGGGAAGCUAGAGGAUGGGAGAGGAUGGUAGAAUUCCAGGUGUAGCGGUGAAAUGCGUAGAGAUCUGGAGGAAUACCGAUGGCGAAGGCAGCCAUCUGGCCUAAUACUGACGCUGAGGUACGAAAGCAUGGGGAGCAAACAGG